Molecule: ribosomal RNA, 253 nt
Filed under: uncultured bacterium
Lineage: Bacteria
Description: partial 16S ribosomal RNA
Rfam family: Bacterial small subunit ribosomal RNA
Source: RNAcentral
UACGUAGGGGGCAAGCGUUAUCCGGAUUUACUGGGUGUAAAGGGAGCGUAGACGGCUGUGCAGGCCAGAUGUGAAAGCCCGGGGCUCAACCCCGGGACUGCAUUUGGAACUGUGUAGCUGGAGUGUCGGAGAGGCAGGCGGAAUUCCUAGUGUAGCGGUGAAAUGCGUAGAUAUUAGGAGGAACACCAGUGGCGAAGGCGGCCUGCUGGACGAUGACUGACGUUGAGGCUCGAAAGCGUGGGGAGCAAACAGG